CGGCCCCCAGGCUCUCGUCGUUUAUCACAGCGCAAUCUUCAGAUUGCGAUCACUCUGGCGUGCAAUCGUCCCCCAACAUAUCGUCGUUUAUUGUCGCCCAAUCGUCGGAUGCCGGCCACUGCACUGCAAGGAACACGUCGUCAACCAUCACACUCGUCUAUCCUCAGGGGAAUAUUCUGUUCGCCCGCCUGUGAAGCGAAGUCUGGAGUAUUUGGGUGAUUACUUCUUACAAGCAAACAUGCGCUUGGAAAAUUGUGAGCUAAGUUCGUCCGCAAUCCAGCUAUUUAUGAAAAAUAUUUGGCAUUUAUCAAGGAGUAGCCACAAGUGCAAAUAUUUCUUGCCGCAUCACUGCGUCAUCAAAGAGAACAGCUCCACAACAAAGCUGAGAGUCGUAUUUGAUACCACAUAUAUACCACAUCUGGUCUCUCGAUAAACGAUUUGUUUAUGUCAGGUCCCACAAUUCAAGCCAAGCAUUUUCACACCCUUAUCCGUCUUCUUGUAUUUCCUAUUGCUCUUACAGGGUAUAUCGGAAAAAUGUAUAGGUGUGUGCGUGUUUCAGUGCUCCAUGCUCCAAUGCAUAUUUUGGAGGAUCUCUGCCAUACAACAACUUACUAGGGGCAUGGAUUGGCGCUAUGUGCCGAAUGAGAUGAGCCUGGCUGACAUUCUGUCAAAGGGAGCAGCACCUCAGGAGCUCUUUCAGUCGAGUUUGUGGAUGAAUGGACCAUCCUGCUUGCAAGACGAAAGAAGCCUAAAAGGUGCUCGUC
RNAcentral lists this long non-coding RNA (764 nucleotides) under Drosophila guanche. The record is from RNAcentral. Lineage: Eukaryota; Metazoa; Arthropoda; Insecta; Diptera; Drosophilidae.